GAUGAAGAACGUAGCGAAAUGCGAUCAGUAAUGUGAAUUGCAGAAUUCAGUGAAUCAUCGAAUCUUUGAACGCACAUUGCGCCCGCCAGUAUUCUGGCGGGCAUGCCUGUUCGAGCGUCAUUUCAACCAUCAAGCCCCCGGCUUGUGUUGGGGACCUGCGGCUGCCGCAGGCCCUGAAAACCAGUGGCGGGCUCGCUAGUCACUCCGAGCGUAGUAAUACAUCUCGCUCAGGGCGUGCUGCGGGUUCCGGCCGUUAAAAAGCCUUAUUUACCCAAGGUUGACCUCGGAUCAGGUAGGAAGACCCGCUGAACUUAAGCAUAUCAAUAAGCGGAGGA
This 335-nucleotide unclassified non-coding RNA is filed under the name soil metagenome. Its description in RNAcentral is "partial contains 5.8S ribosomal RNA, internal transcribed spacer 2, and large subunit ribosomal RNA". The stretch from base 1 to 120 matches the Rfam family "5.8S ribosomal RNA", at positions 35 to 154 of the family's 154-position model. The record is from RNAcentral.